Megalobrama amblycephala (Wuchang bream) is the source of this 515-nucleotide long non-coding RNA. RefSeq lists it as uncharacterized. The transcript is spliced from 2 exons. The record is from RefSeq and is a predicted model, not a curated record. NCBI's taxonomy places the organism in Eukaryota, Metazoa, Chordata, Actinopteri, Cypriniformes, Xenocyprididae.
GCCGGAAGCUGAGAGCGAGGAACGUGAACUUGGAGCGGUUUUCUAGAGUUUUGGAAGGUGCGAAAUGUUUGCGAAUUCGCAUGUCAAAAACAGCCAACAAUACAGGAAGUCGGAGGAACAAAAAGCCAAAGAACCAAAUAAGUAGACGACAGUGAACAUCGGUGGAAUGAGCUGAGAGCUUCAACGCGAUUGAACUUGCUUUGCUUCUGUUUCUUGACAGGGCACUGUUGAGCAGGUGUUAGCAAAGAAGCUCUUUAAGAAGGCUGAACCAUUGGCACAACUCAGAGGGAUGUGAAAAAGAGAGAGAAAACGAAAAAGAGAGAAGAGAGGAGUUAAGGAAGAGGAAAGUAACUGGUGUAAAGUGGAUUUCCUGGCUGGAAGACAGCUGGUCAUUCCCAUGGGACUCAUUACAGUUCUGACAAUCCAGUGUUACGCACACAGCCACAUGUACAUGCAAAACUAGGUCUCUGUUUGCCAUGAAUGUAAAGCCAUGCUAAUAAAUUUUCUGACCAACA